This is a long non-coding RNA of Peromyscus californicus insignis, 937 nucleotides long. RefSeq lists it as uncharacterized. The transcript is spliced from 4 exons. The record is from RefSeq and is a predicted model, not a curated record. Lineage: Eukaryota; Metazoa; Chordata; Mammalia; Rodentia; Cricetidae.
CCCAGUGCAAAGCAAGAAUCACAUAUCCAUAAAAGGACGCAAAGAUGUCGGUCUCCUUGGAUGAGAAAUAGUUCAGCAGAAGGUGGCAGGCGCCGAGCUAGAAGACUAUCUAAACUGCAAACAGACACAAAACGGGCACAAGCAGCUAGAGAUGUGGAGGCUCUUUGAAGAAAAAGAAAAUCAAGUUGGGAGAAGCUGCUUGGGAAGGAGGGAGGAAGUCUUAAAUACAGGCUUACAGCACAAUGGGAGAACCCCGGAGGGCAGAAGUUCGCUACCGAUGUUCUACAAUCUUGCAUCCAAGCUGCUAACGCCCAUCAUACAGGAUACACAGACAAGGAACCUCCCCCAAGCACCCAGGAGGGUGGAACCCAGGAGGGAAUUACCAUAGGGAGGAUAUCAAGGUCAAGGUCCAGUCUUAUUACUUGUGGUCUGGAAUUGUCAAUGUAAACUGGUGUGAAGGCCUAGACUUGAUUUUACAGACUCUACCUUAGGGAAAGGGCAACAUCUCAGACCACCUGCUGUACUCAGUUCCAGGAAGGACCUCAGGAAUGUGCCGUGACAACUCAAGUGGAUACAGAGUAGUACCCUCCUGCAGACAUCCUGUCUGUGGUUUAUGGCCCUUGAAGAUACCUAGAUAAUCCUGCUGAUCAGUCCAGAUAAUCCUGUUUAGUGGGUUGUGGUUCCCUGCCAAAAAGUCUAACCCAAUGGUUUCAAAUGUGGUUUCACACCGAAAGUCUAGACCAAUAGUUUUUAAAAAAAUCCCCUUGCCCCAUAUCCCUUCUACCCAAUCCUAAGUUGCCAAUUCCUGGCUUGUGGUCUUUCCCUAUAAAAACUCUCUACACCUGGGCCGUGGCCACCGUCACAUUUCUUUCCAUCUGCUGUGCGAUGACCCAGGUUGAACCUGAAUAAAAGGACCUUUAUGUGCUUGCAUCAGAAA